This 440-nucleotide ribosomal RNA is filed under the name uncultured bacterium. RNAcentral's name for it is "bacterial SSU rRNA". It matches the Rfam family "Bacterial small subunit ribosomal RNA", at positions 958 to 1400 of the family's 1533-position model. The record is from RNAcentral.
AACGCGAAGAACCUUACCUGGGUUUGACAUCCUUGGAUCACUCUAGAGAUAGAGCUUCCCCUUCGGGGGCCAAGAGACAGGUGCUGCAUGGCUGUCGUCAGCUCGUAUCGUGAGAUGUCGGGUUAAGUCCCUUAACGAGCGCAACCCUUAUCCCUAGUUGCCAUCAUUUAGUUGGGCACUCUACGGAGACUGCCGGUGUUAAACCGGAGGAAGGUGGGGAUGACGUCAAGUCCUCAUGGCCUUUAUAUCCAGGGCUACACACGUGCUACAAUGGCCGGUACAAAGAGUUGCCAACCUGCAAAGGGGAGCUAAUCUCAGAAAGCCGGUCUCAGUUCGGAUUGAAGUCUGCAAUUCGACUUCAUGAAGCUGGAAUCGCUAGUAAUCGCGGAUCAGAACGCCGCGGUGAAUACGUUCCCGGGCCUUGUACACACCGGUAUCUC